GUGAUCGCUUUGGCAGCACAGAGACUAAAACUGCAGCAGCACAGGGAGGAUGAGCAUGGGCCCUGCACAAGCAUGACAUGGAAAUUCGUGAAGCAUUCCAAUAAAAA
This is a small nuclear RNA of Cebus imitator (Panamanian white-faced capuchin), 107 nucleotides long. Lineage: Eukaryota; Metazoa; Chordata; Mammalia; Primates; Cebidae. The record is from Ensembl.